This is an RNA transcript of Nicotiana attenuata, 1596 nucleotides long. It is a transcript of the gene named calcineurin subunit B-like, with no coding region annotated. The record is from RefSeq and is a predicted model, not a curated record. NCBI's taxonomy places the organism in Eukaryota, Viridiplantae, Streptophyta, Magnoliopsida, Solanales, Solanaceae. The transcript has 8 exons.
AAGAUUGAUCUCACCAUAAGCGAUUACUGCAAGCACCAGAUCAUGAAUCGUUGAAACUUCAAAAGGGUGAUAGAUUUGAUAGUACAUCAAAAUACUCGUCACUUGUACAGCCAAGGUUGUUUUUUAGUUCCUCCGCCAUGACAAAGUUGUCCUAAUCCAAUGACAUAAUCUUCUAGAGUUACCAUUAACACCAAAAAAUUUCUCCUUGAUUGGCUUUAAUCAUUCACCAUUUUUUCUCCAUUCAGAAAUAUUGGAAGCUGAGUUUUUGCACUGAUAUUUGACUAUGGGAAAUGCUUCUUCAAUGUUAACUCAAUACGAUAUUGAAGAUGUCCAGGAGCAGUGCAACCAUCUGUUUACUCAGCAGGAAAUAGUGUCACUGUAUGAAAGGUUCUGCCAACUUGAUAGGAAUUCAAAGGGUUUUAUCUAUGCUGAUGAGUUCCUGUCAGUACCGGAGUUUGCAAUGAAUCCGCUCUCUCAGAGAUUACUUAAGAUGGUGGACGGCUUGAAUUUCAAAGACUUCGUGGCAUUUUUGUCAACUUUCAGUGCAAAAGCGAGCAUGCAACAGAAAAUUGAACUUAUCUUCAAAGUUUAUGAUUCUGACUGCAAUGGGAAAGUGAUGUUCGAUGGCAUUAUAGAAGUGCUUCGGGAUUUAACUGGAUCAUUCAUUUCAGACAAGCAAAGAGAGGAAGUGCUGAACCAAGUUUUGCAUGAGGCUGGCUAUACAAGGGACUCCUUAUUGCUCUUGGAUGAUUUCAUCCAGAUACUGGACCACCCAGGCAUGAAGAUGGAGGUGGAAGUUCCAAUUGACUAGCUAAGCCAGCAGUUACCUAUACUAUAAUUUAGAUGUAUCGUUGUAGAAGCACAUGCUUGUGUUUUCUAUUCUCUUUCUUCAAUUUCGUGACCUGAGCUUUCCUCUUCUUUUUGUGUGUGUCUUCUUUUCGGGUUGAGGGACGGGGCGAUCAGCCACAUAGGUGAUGGGAUGCUGGAAAGCGGAAACCACCAUGAACGGAAACAGAGUAAGCACUUUAAGCAGGAAUUAGGAAUAUUUGCCAGUGGCCCGUUUUAGAGCCUAAAAAAUGGCAGCCCAAUACACAAGGCAUCUCGCGUUCACGCAGGGUCUGAGAAAGAGCCGCACCUCAAGGGGUGUGAUGUAGACAGCCUACCCGUGACACAUUUUAGAGCCUCAUGGUUAAUAUUUGCACAUUGGAUCUACAAAGAACGUUAGUCUACUAAAGCCUUCAGGAUUAGUAAGGACUAAGGAUAUUUGAAGAAAUGUCUUCAAACGGCUACAACAACAAUAACAGCAUACCCAGUGCGAUCCCAAAAGUGAGAUUUGGGGAGGAUAUGAUAUACGCAGACCUUUCUCUAUUUUGUGUGAGGUAGAAAGGAUGUUUCCGAUGAUAUCUUCGAAUUGCUGAAUGAAAGAACCGUAUAUAUGUAAAAGUGUUAUUUAAAUUAUGCUUGUUCUUUUGCAGAAGCAGAUCCUGAACUUACAAUUAGCGAGUUUCGACUAUGACAGUUUGAUAUAUAAACUUUCCUACAUAUACAUACAUGAUCCAAGUCAAAAACAGUGUGUUGUUAAAAUCGCUGUAAAAA